This 1356-nucleotide long non-coding RNA is filed under the name Heterocephalus glaber (naked mole-rat). RNAcentral's name for it is "lncRNA (ENSHGLG00000045792.1)". The record is from RNAcentral. Lineage: Eukaryota; Metazoa; Chordata; Mammalia; Rodentia; Bathyergidae.
GGUGAGGACUCUGGGCUUGGCCUGAGUGGGGGGCACCAUCCAGUCCCCUCCUGCACACCCCCAGCUCAAAGGGCCACACUGGGCUCCCCAGAGGACCCCCACUGGGUCCCUGAGACAUCAGCAGAGGAAAAGGCAGGGCGUGGGACGUCCCCUCCAGCCCCCGCUCCCGCUGGCCCAGGCCGCCCUGGGAUGGAGCAGGGGAGGCUGGGAAGGCUGGGACCAAGGGGAGAGCACACGGGCUCCCCCGAGUCUCCAUAGCUGUGGCUGAGACAUCUCUGCAGGACGUCUCUCCUCCUUCAAAUUGUGUGUGUCUCAGGGCUGGAAAAGUGACUAUUACAAAACCUUUUCUCUUUGAAGUUGGUUAUUGCAGGCAUUUUGUUCUAGUAGUGGAAAGCUGACUAAAACUGACAAAGCAGGCACAUUGCUGAACUUGUCAAAUUCCCCUGAGAAGGCUUGGGUUCUGCAGCUUUCUGCAGACCAGAGCUCUUCCUCUACCCGGCCAAUGUCAAUUUUCUUGUUUUUCUUCAUCCACCAACUUUUGGCUCCAGAGAGGCCCGUGAAUUACCCAAUAUGCUCGACAGUUGUCUGAACACAGCCGGCUCAUAAACAGAAAACUCAAACACAACAGCAUUGAAGAAUAAGAAAACCAGAGCUGGACAUACACUCCUGAUUUUGCCUCUGUGAAAGUGUAUUUGUCAGGGAAUCUCUGCCCCGUUAGCACUGUGCCCAGCCUGGAAAUCGCUCUGCCUAUGUGAGGUAGCCAGCUCUGGAAGCUUCCAUAGAUGGAAGCAUGGCUCAGUGACCCGCAUCUGUCCUCUGGUGUUGGGCUGUCCCUGGCUGACGUCUCCAAAGUGCACAGAGCACUGCCUCCCUUUUCUGUGGAAGAUUGCUGGACCACACGGUGACUCGAGGUGACUUUGAGGAACUGCGGCUGGUUCUCCAAGCGGCAGGCAGUGCAGGAGGCUUCCAGUUUCCCUGGCGCCAAGGGUUUCACUGUGUGGCCCAGGCUGGCCUCGACCUAGCGGUGAUCCUCCUGCCUCCGCCUUCCACAUGCUGGGAUCACAGGUGUGGGCCACCAUGCCAGCCCUUCUUCCUCCUCUUCCUCCUCCUCCGAGCCUCUCCCUCGAACCUGCUGGAAAUGGCGUAGAUGACGAUGAUGAGGUUGCGCUAGCAGCUCCUCAGCACACGUUCCCAACACUUGUCCAGCACUGGCUCAUUUCUUACUCAGGACCCCGGGAGGCAGGACUGAGUUUCCCUUUGUUCAGAAGAAGAAACAGGCCUGGAGAGGCGGCAUCUGGGGUGGGUCCCCAGGUCCCCAGGGGUGGAUCGCACCCACCUCACCGCAGCCCGAGCCCG